This 253-nucleotide ribosomal RNA is filed under the name uncultured bacterium. RNAcentral describes it as "partial 16S ribosomal RNA". It matches the Rfam family "Bacterial small subunit ribosomal RNA", at positions 524 to 776 of the family's 1533-position model. The record is from RNAcentral.
GACGAAGGGGGCUAGCGUUGUUCGGAAUUACUGGGCGUAAAGCGUGUGUAGGUGGUUGCCAUAGUCAGGUGUGAAAGCCUUGAGCUCAACUCAAGAAAUGCACUUGAUACUGGGCAGCUAGAGGACCGGAGAGGAUAGUGGAAUUCCCAGUGUAGUGGUGAAAUACGUAGAGAUUGGGAAGAACACCAGUGGUGAAGGCGGCUAUCUGGACGGUUUCUGACACUAAGACACGAAAGCGUGGGGAGCAAACAGG